Molecule: ribosomal RNA, 621 nt
Filed under: uncultured Omnitrophica bacterium
Lineage: Bacteria; Pseudomonadati; Candidatus Omnitrophota
Description: bacterial SSU rRNA
Rfam family: Bacterial small subunit ribosomal RNA
Source: RNAcentral
CUUGAAGAGGAGUUCACGUCCUAUCAGCUAGUUUGGUGAGGUAAUGGCUCACCAAGGCAUUUGACGGGUAGCUGGUCUAAGAGGAUGGUCAGCCACACUGGGACUGAGACACUGCCCAGACUCCUACGGGAGGCUGCAGUCGAGAAUCUUUUGCAAUGGGCGAAAGCCUGACAAUGCGACGCCGCGUGAGUGAUGAAGGUCUUCGGAUCGUAAAGCUCUGUUACGGGGGAUGAAAGCUUAGCCUUUUAAUACAGGGCUAGGUUGACAGUACCCUGAGAGGAAGCCACGGCUAACUCCGUGCCAGCAGCCGCGGUAAUACGGAGGUGGCGAGCGUUGUUCGGAUUGAUUGGGUGUAAAGGGCAUGUAGGCGUCCUGGUAAGUUGAAUGUGAAAUCCCGUAGCUCUAACUACGGAACUGCAUUUGAAACUACCGGGAUUGAGUACGGAAGGGGAGAAUGGAAUUCCCGGUGUAAGAGUGAAAUCUGUAGAUAUCGGGAGGAACACCAGUGGCGAAGGCGGUUCUCUGGGCCGAUACUGACGCUGAAAUGCGAAAGCUAGGGGGGCAAACAGGAUUAGAUACCCUGGUAGUCCUAGCCGUAAUACGAUGGGCACUAGGUGUAGG